UAUUGCGCAAUGGGGGAAACCCUGACGCAGCGACGCCGCGUGAGUGAUGAAGGCCUUAGGGUCGUAAAGCUCUGUUGAAUGGGAAGAAACAAAUGACGGUACCAUUCGAGAAAGGGCCGGCUAACUUCGUGCCAGCAGCCGCGGUAAGACGAGGGGUCCUAGCGUUGUUCGGAAUCAUUGGGCGUAAAGCGUGUGUAGGCGGCCACGUAAGUCAGUUGUGAAAGCCCCGGGCUCAACCCGGGAAGUGCUUCUGAUACUGCAUGGCUUGAGUACUGGAGAGGAUAGUGGAAUUCCAGGUGUAGUGGUGAAAUACGUAGAUAUCUGGAGGAACACCGGUGGCGAAGGCGGCUAUCUGGCCAUGUACUGACGCUGAGACACGAAAGCGUGGGGAGCAAAC
Molecule: ribosomal RNA, 397 nt
Filed under: uncultured bacterium
Lineage: Bacteria
Description: bacterial SSU rRNA
Rfam family: Bacterial small subunit ribosomal RNA
Source: RNAcentral